This 498-nucleotide ribosomal RNA is filed under the name uncultured bacterium. Its description in RNAcentral is "partial 16S ribosomal RNA". It matches the Rfam family "Bacterial small subunit ribosomal RNA", at positions 28 to 507 of the family's 1533-position model. The record is from RNAcentral.
GACGAACGCUGGCGGCGUGCCUAAUACAUGCAAGUCGAGCGGACGAAUCGAAAGCUUGCUUUUGAUUCGUUAGCGGCGGACGGGUGAGUAACACGUGGGCAACCUGCCCUGUAGACGGGGAUAACACCGAGAAAUCGGUGCUAAUACCGGAUAACACGAAAUGUCGCAUGACGUUUCGUUGAAAGACGGCGCAAGCUGUCGCUACAGGAUGGGCCCGCGGCGCAUUAGCUAGUUGGUGAGGUAACGGCUCACCAAGGCGACGAUGCGUAGCCGACCUGAGAGGGUGAUCGGCCACACUGGGACUGAGACACGGCCCAGACUCCUACGGGAGGCAGCAGUAGGGAAUCUUCCGCAAUGGACGAAAGUCUGAUGGAGCAACGCCGCGUGAGCGAAGAAGGCCUUCGGGUCGUAAAGCUCUGUUGUUAGGGAAGAACAAGUAACGCAGUAACUGGCGUUACCGUGACGGUACCUAACGAGAAAGCCACGGCUAACUACGUG